This 64-nucleotide microRNA precursor is filed under the name Gyrodactylus salaris (gyrodactylosis fluke). RNAcentral describes it as "microRNA gsa-mir-1993 precursor". The record is from miRBase by way of RNAcentral. Lineage: Eukaryota; Metazoa; Platyhelminthes; Monogenea; Gyrodactylidea; Gyrodactylidae.
AGUGGAAAACUUGCAUAACUACAGUUAAAGAUUAUUAUUCUUGUAUUAUGCAAUAUUUCACUCG